Molecule: ribosomal RNA, 3640 nt
Filed under: Elusimicrobia bacterium CG_4_10_14_0_2_um_filter_63_34
Lineage: Bacteria; Pseudomonadati; Elusimicrobiota
Also listed under: 2 other names
Description: bacterial LSU rRNA
Rfam family: Bacterial large subunit ribosomal RNA
Source: RNAcentral
AGGUUAAGCUGGAAAGUGCAUGUGGUGAAUGCCUUGGCGCCGAAAGUCGAUGAAGGACGUGAUAAGCUGCGAUAAGCCUCGGGGAGACGCAAACAGUCUAUGAUCCGGGGAUUUCCGAAUGGGGAAACCCUUAAUACAUUCAGCUGAAGGCCCGGUUUUAGGAUCGGGAUAUAGGCUGUCUGAGACAACCCAGGGAAUUGAAACAUCUAAGUACCUGGUGGAAAAGAAAUCAAAAGAGAUUCCGUUAGUAGUGGCGAGCGAACGCGGAAUAGCCCAAACCAUGAGGACCUGUCCUCGUGGGGUUGUAGGGCUCGUCCGGUGUAGAACCAAGAAGUUACCAAUCGUCGGGUAGUUAAACGGUCCUGGAAAGGCCGGCCAAAGAGGGUGAUAGCCCCGUAAGCGAAACCUAGACGACUUCUGACGAGUUCCUGAGUAGGAUCGGGCACGAGAAACCCGGUCUGAAUCUGCGGAGACCACUCUGCAAGGCUAAAUACUCUUCGGCGACCGAUAGUGAACUAGUACCGCGAGGGAAAGGCGAAAAGAACCCCUGACGGGGAGUGAAAAGAACCUGAAACCGCAUGUGUACAAACAGUGGAAGACCUAUGGCACUCUUUCGGGAGCGCAAUGGUCGACCAUGUGCCUAUUGAAGAAUGAUCCGGCGAGUUACUGGGUGGAGCGAGGUUAAGGGCUGCGUGAAAGCGUAGUCCGAAGCCGUAGCGAAAGCGAGUCCGAAAGGGCGACUAGUUUCAUUCAGUAGACCCGAAACCAAGUGAUCUAAGCCUGGCCAGCGUGAAGGUUCGGUAAAACGAACUGGAGGUGCGGAGUGUUUAGCGUUGAAAAGCUACUACAUGAGCUGGGUUUAGGGGUGAAAGGCCAAUCGAACUUGGUGAUAGCUGGUUCUCCCCGAAAUAACUCUAGGGUUAGCGUCGAGGGUUAAGCGGUAGGGGUAGAGCACUGGUAAGUGUAGGGGGAGCAACCCUCUUUCCGAAGCUUGUCAAACUCCGAAUACUACCGUGUAUUGCUCGGCAGUCAGUUCCAGGGGGAUAAGCUCCUGGUGCAAAAGGGAAACAGCCCAGACCAUCGAUUAAGGUCCCAAAGUGCGUGCUAAGUGGUAAAUGAUGUGGAUUUGCUUAAACACCUAGGAGGUUGGCUUAGAAGCAGCCACCCUUUAAAGAGUGCGUAACAGCUCACUAGUCUAGCGAAUCUGCGCAGAAAAUGACUCGGGGCUAAGCACGCCACCGAAUUCGUGGCUGUACGAGUUCUUCGGAACUUGUGCGGGGUAGGGGAGCGUUCGCAGUGCACAGAAGGCAUACCGUAAGGAGUGCUGGAGCGCUGUGAAGUGAGAAUGCCGGAAUAAGUAGCGAGAAACAAGGUGAGAAUCCUUGUCGCCGAAAGCCUAAGGUUUCCUUGAGCAAUGUUCGUCAGCUCAGGGUUAGUCGGUCCUAAGUCGAGGCCGAAAGGCGUAGACGAAGGGCAUCAGGUUAAUAUUCCUGAACUAGUGUCGGAUCUAUACACUAAGGAGUGACGCAGAAAGGUAAGUCUACCCGGUAAUGGUUGUCCGGGGGAAAGGUGGUAGGGGUGCUUCUCCAGGAAAAUCCGGAGGGGCGUUAACCCGAAAGCCGAGACCACGAUGGGGAAACCCGUUGGAAGUGACCCAACUACGCUGCCUAGAAAACCUUCGUAGUGUGAUCCGAGACUAACCGUACCGUAAUCCGACACAGGUGGGCGGGUUGAAAAUACUAAGGCGCGCGAGUGAGAGUUGGCUAAGGAACUCGGCAAAAUAAUCCCGUAACUUCGGAAGAAGGGAUGCCUCCGCAAGGAGGCCGCAGUGAACGGGGGGUUGCGACUGUUUAUCAAAAACACAGGUCUCUGCUGAAAUCACAAGAUGAUGUAUAGGGACUGACUCCUGCCCGGUGCUGGAAGGUCAAGGGGAGCUGUUAGCUUUCGGGCGAAGCAGCGAACUUAAGCCCCAGUAAACGGCGGCGGUAACUAUAACCGUCCUAAGGUAGCGAAAUUCCUUGUCGGGUAAGUUCCGACCUGCACGAAUGGAGUAACGAUGGCCCCGCUGUCUCGGCCAACUGCUCGGCGAAUUUGUGGUGCGAGUGAAGACGCUCGCUAGGCGUGGUUAGACGAAAAGACCCCGUGCACCUUUACUGCAACUUGACAUUGUGUUACGGUUUUGAAUGCGUAGGAUAGGUGGGAGCCUUUGAAGCGGCCCUUGAGGGGGUCGUGGAGGCAACGGUGAAAUACCACCCUUUUGGGACUGUGACUCUAACGUUGGGCCGUAAUCCGGUCGACGGACAUUGUCAGGCGGGCAGUUUGACUGGGGCGGUCGCCUCCUAAAGAGUAACGGAGGCGUACAAAGGUUCCCUCAGGCCGUAUAGAAAUCGGCCAUUGAGCGCAAGAGCAGAAGGGAGCUUGACUGUGAGGCACACAAGCCGAACAGGGACGAAAGUCGGUUCUAGUGAUCCGGUGGUUCGGAGUGGAACGGCCAUCGCUCAACGGAUAAAAGGUACGCCGGGGAUAACAGGCUGAUCGCAUCCAAGAGUUCACAUCGACGAUGCGGUUUGGCACCUCGAUGUCGGCUCAUCGCAUCCUCCCGCUGGAGCAGGUGGGAAGGGUUAGGCUGUUCGCCUAUUAAAGCGGUACGUGAGCUGGGUUCAGUACGUCGUGAGACAGUAGAACCUGCUGUCUAUAAACUUGGCCAUAUGCUGGAAACUCUGAGAAUCUCUUGGUAUGGAGCGGAACCUUAAGCGGUCCCGAAACGUAAAAAUCCAUGAGUGCAGACAAUCAGCAGGUAACCGAGAUGAGAAUAUCGUCAGACUAUAUACGUGGAUUCGUGGACGGAGAGGGAUGCUUCUACAUCCUCGCUAGCCGACGGAUCGCAUGCGAGUUUCAAGUCAGCCAGAAGGAGCGGACUGUCUUGGACGAAAUGCAGCGGUUUUUCGGUUGCGGGUACGUGAAGCCGAAGUAUGAUAGGUCGGGUACGCAUGUCUUCGUGGUAAAGAGGAUUGCGGAUUUGGCCGGUGUCAUCGUGCCCUUUUUUAAAACGAAUUUGCUUUUAGUUAAGCGGUAUGAUUUCGAAUGUUUCGCGGAAGCGGUUGAGCUUCAGCGAGCGAGAGCGCAUCUGACUCGAGAGGGUAGGGCGCGAAUUAUCGAACUCAAAUCGGGAACCUCAGAGACUUUACGCCAGGCUUCGGCUCACAAGGCCGGAAGAAGAUAAAGUCCGAACUGUGCGGCGACGCAUAGAGUUUGUCGGAAACGGCAAGCCGCCGGUCGGGAUUUUUCCCGGACGGUCAGUACCUCAAGAGUUUGAGGGAAGCAACAGAUUGACGGUCUCUAUCUACCAUGCCCGUAGGAAACUUGAGAGGAUUUGUCCAUAGUACGAGAGGACCUGGAUGAACGCACCUCCUGUGUCCCAGUUGUCCCGCCAGGGGCAGCGCUGGGUAGCGGUGUGCGGAUGGGAUAAACGCUGAAAGCAUCUAAGUGUGAAACCCACCUCAAGAUAAGGUUUCCCUAAGAUCUUCGGAUCUUCUAAAGGCCCCCGGAAGACUACCGGGUUGAUAGGCUGGACGUGUACGCACGGUAACGUGUUUAGCAAACCAGUACUAAUCGGCCGUGAGGCUUGACCUCAUUCUUC